GAUGAACGCUAGCUACAGGCUUAACACAUGCAAGUCGAGGGGCAUCACAGUGUAGCAAUACACGGGUGGCGACCGGCGCACGGGUGCGUAACACGUAUCCAAUCUGCCCGUUACUCGGGGAUAGCCUUCUGAAAGGAAGAUUAAUACCCGAUGGCAUGUAUUUCCGGCAUCGGAGAUACAUUAAAGAUUUAUCGGUAACGGAUGAGGAUGCGUACGAUUAGCUGGUUGGCGGGGUAACGGCCCACCAAGGCUACGAUCGUUAGGGGUUCUGAGAGGAAGGUCCCCCACACUGGAACUGAGACACGGUCCAGACUCCUACGGGAGCAGCAGUGAGGAAUAUUGGUCAAUGGUCGAGAGACUGAACCAGCCAAGUAGCGUGAAGGAUGACUGCCCUACGGGUUGUAAACUUCUUUGUUUGGGAAUAAAUGAUACUACGUGUAGUAUUUUGCAUGUACCUUACGAAUAAGCAUCGGCUAAUUCCGUGCCAGCAG
This 491-nucleotide ribosomal RNA is filed under the name uncultured bacterium. RNAcentral describes it as "bacterial SSU rRNA". It matches the Rfam family "Bacterial small subunit ribosomal RNA", at positions 28 to 514 of the family's 1533-position model. The record is from RNAcentral.